Molecule: ribosomal RNA, 557 nt
Filed under: Allobosea sp. BvIRHM055
Lineage: Bacteria; Pseudomonadati; Pseudomonadota; Alphaproteobacteria; Hyphomicrobiales; Alloboseaceae
Also listed under: 1 other name
Description: bacterial SSU rRNA
Rfam family: Bacterial small subunit ribosomal RNA
Source: RNAcentral
ACGGGUGAGUAACGCGUGGGAACGUGCCUUUCGGUUCGGAAUAAUCCAGGGAAACUUGGACUAAUACCGGAUACGCCCUUCGGGGGAAAGAUUUAUCGCCGAAAGAUCGGCCCGCGUCUGAUUAGCUAGUUGGUGAGGUAAAGGCUCACCAAGGCGACGAUCAGUAGCUGGUCUGAGAGGAUGAUCAGCCACAUUGGGACUGAGACACGGCCCAAACUCCUACGGGAGGCAGCAGUGGGGAAUAUUGGACAAUGGGCGAAAGCCUGAUCCAGCCAUGCCGCGUGAGUGAUGAAGGCCUUAGGGUUGUAAAGCUCUUUUGUCCGGGAAGAUAAUGACUGUACCGGAAGAAUAAGCCCCGGCUAACUUCGUGCCAGCAGCCGCGGUAAUACGAAGGGGGCUAGCGUUGCUCGGAAUCACUGGGCGUAAAGGGCGCGUAGGCGGACUUUUAAGUCGGAGGUGAAAGCCCAGGGCUCAACCCUGGAAUUGCCUUCGAUACUGGGAGUCUUGAGUUCGGAAGAGGUUGGUGGAACUGCGAGUGUAGAGGUGAAAUUCGUAGA